RNA transcript from Megalobrama amblycephala (Wuchang bream), 4875 nucleotides. It is a transcript of the gene named EMI domain containing 1, with no coding region annotated. The record is from RefSeq and is a predicted model, not a curated record. Lineage: Eukaryota; Metazoa; Chordata; Actinopteri; Cypriniformes; Xenocyprididae. The transcript has 16 exons.
GAGAUCAUGACAUCUGCUUCUUAAACAAGGACACCAUAAAUCCAUUUGUUUCAUGUCUAAAAGUUUUCACUGGAAGAGCAGAGAAGGGGGAGUGCUGCAUGAGAGGACAGAGAGAGAAAAAGGGAACUGGGCUGGGUGAAAAAAGAAAAAAGAAAAAAAAACCUACACGGGCUGUAGGACUCAAGGCGACUAUAAAACAGCUUUCUUGCCCAUUGUGUUGAUGUAGUCAAGAUAUACCGUAACGUACAGACAGACGGAGAUGGAGGAGUGAGGCGGGACCGGUUUGUGUGGCUGCUAAGAAACGUUUGUCUUGCGGUUUGCGAGCAAACUUUGUGAGAUUUAUUUGUGGCGGGGUCUGCCUAUGACAGUCCUCUGAAACUUUAACUCUCGUGUUUGAGACGCAGCAGUGCACAUAAACAAGCCUUUUAUUAUUUUAAUGCUAGUAAAAUAAACGGCAGUUCAGAAUUUAGUCUUGCGACUCGCAUAUCUGUCCUCUAGUCACAGUUGCAAGAUAAGCGGGACAAUAUUAGGAGAGUUUUUUUGCUGAGUGGGUUCUCUGUACAGUUGACGCGGCUGAAAUGGGAGCGCAUGACGGGCGCUUGGUGUCUGCGGUUCACCGGAGCUCUUUCCUCUUGUGGACGCUGCUGCCGAUACUGUGGCUGACAUGCGUUCAGGGGACGUGGGGACCCGGAGUUUACAAAUACCAAACCGGGACAGCACUCCACAAAGAUCUGUCGAAAAGGAACUGGUGUCCGCAGACGGUGACUAAGACAGUGACUUGUCAGGUACAGAAUGGCACCACGCUCCAGAGAGUCUAUCAGACCUGCAGGUGGCCUCAGGGUUGCAAUGGGGGAAGCUAUCGCACUGUGGUCCGGCCAUCCUAUAAAGUUGUGUACCGCACCAUCACCUCUCUGGAGUGGAAAUGUUGUCCUGGAUACAGCGGAUCUCAGUGUGAGGAAGGAUCAUCAAGUAACCUGGUCGCCCAGGAGGCUGUAAGGAAACAGGCUACAUUUCUGAAACAUGCUGCUAAAACAGGAGAACAGGUCUCGAACUGUCUGAAUUGCAGUCGUAUCACUGCCCUCACAGAUCGUGUGAGCUCUCUAGAGGCCAAGGUUCAGCUUCUUACCAUUCCUGCCUCCAACUCUCAUCGACAGACGGAGUUAAAAAAUGAACACGAUUCCUCCUCCCUGAUGGGGUCGCCACCCGCUAAAGGUGCUCCUGGGGCUCAGGGUCCCGCAGGUCCACAGGGCGAGAGAGGCCAGGACGGCUUACCUGGUAAAGAUGGUAAACCAGGUUCUCGAGGUCUGCCAGGACCCAAAGGAGAGGCGGGUACCAGAGGUCCAUCUGGGGCUCCAGGGUCUAAAGGAACAGCUGGUCCUCCAGGUCCACAGGGACCACCGGGCCUCCCAGGAGAGAGGGGCCUCCCUGGGCUUCCCGGGCCCCCUGGCCCACCAGCCCCUGUACCUGAACAAGAUGCUGGCCUGAAAAAAGACAGUCUCCUUCAUAACAACUUCCCUGACCUCCGAGUGACCCCUCCACAUGGACCACCAGGUCCACCUGGACCCACCGGUCCUCCAGGACCAAUCGGACCCUCUGGACCACCAGGCCCUAUGGGACAGUCUGGAAAGCCAGGAGUUCCUGGUUUGCAAGGCCCGGUGGGUCCAAAGGGAGAACGAGGAGAAAGAGGACCUCUUGGAUAUCCAGGAGAGAGAGGAUUCAAAGGAGAGACGGGAGAGCCGGGACCUAAAGGAGAGCCAGGGGAGAAAGGUCUUCCGAGCGAUUUGAACGUAAGAGAUUUUGACAUUUGCUGUGACGUUUUUGUCGUUCCUGUUUUUAGGAUUUCAUUGCUCAUCCUGCCGUUCAUCUGUGUUUUAACAUCAGCAAUCACAUUAAAUCCAUCAGUGGAAUUUUCAUCAUGAAAAAGGAGAGCAGAUUGUCUCUCUCAUCCUGAAUUUAUGGAAAAUUAUCAGAAAAAUAGGCAAAAUUACACAUGAAUGGAAACUCCACUGAAAGGAUUUGCUCCACAAAUGCUGUUCAUUGCUUACUUACAGUACUCACUGUUAGCACAUUAUAUGUCUCGGUUUUGUGUGCACUGAUAUUGUUUCUAUAUGUUUUUGAAUAAGAGGUUGCCCUUUAUGACUGAUUUGAGACGAGUUUUACAGUCUAAAGGGGGUUUAGGGGAUUCUGAUCCAGUCUCAGAUUAGAAUACAAGGGCAUCUCUUCAGAAUGUGCAAUUAUGUUGUUAAUGUUGUGGAUUUUGAUUGGUUGGUGGUUGGGGCUGUCUUGAGUGUUUCCCCUGUCCUCUAAAGCUGAUUCCUUUCCGUUACUGUCUCCAUGGCUGCCUUUUACAUACCCAACACACAGAGAAGUUAACUCUUUGCUUUGUGCUGUCACGACAGAGAGGAAACAUUGAAUUAUUGAUACAUCUUUUGUGUGUAUACCAUUGCAAAAUAAUUAAUCAGGGUUUAGCAACCAAACUGCUAGAAAGGGGGGUAAAAAAGUAUUUGCACGGCUGAAAGAUGUGUGUUGUGUAUAUGCUCCAUUUUAGCAUUUGCAGGGAUUUGGUGUGUGGAUGGACGUGUAGAUCGAUACAGCUAUUGUUCAUUGUCCCACAGUGCAUUGCUGCAUGUUCCCAUCUCAUUACUCUGCUUGUGAUCUUGCUUUUUGCUUACACAACUAACAUCUAACCAUUCGAUUUUGAGUUUAGCAGCAUUGAGCGAUUAAUAGUCAAACAAACGUUCUGUUUAAUUGCAUUACGCUCUCACACUCAAUCCAUAGUGAAAGGCUUGCUAUACUGAAUAGUCUUAGUUCACAUGUUGAUGUAUGGUUUUCCGCAUGGCCUGCCGAUCCCAGAAGAUGUGGGCCAUUUGUGUGUUAUUAAUCAUAAGACAGAUAAUUCGAUUAAAUCCUGAAGAUGCUGUAUCUAGACUCCUUAGAGAUGUAUACAUUAUGUACAAAGACCAUACAACUAUCUGAAGAUUAAUCUCUUCACAUUUAUCAUUGUGAGGCCUAGCACUCAUAUAGUACCGUGGGGAAAGAUUCUGGACCAUAGCCAUACUUACAUCUCUUAAUGAUUAUGGUAUUUUUUUCAAGAAAUAAUAUUAUAUAUUGUUUGCUGUUUUAUUUGGCUAGAUGAACUACCUCCUGCUCUCACAGGCACUAACUUUUACAUAAGCCUUACAUACAUAACUCUUUCCUGACUUCAUCAAUAACACUGUUUUUCUAACAUGUGCUUGAGCUUGGGACUGUUGGGUAGAAUGUACGUUAUGUGACCAUUUUCUUUACACUGUUCAACAAUUGCCUACCAAAGCCACAUAACUAAGUAUUUCAACAGAUUUUUUUUUGUAAAAUAGCACAAAGUUUAUCUGUUAGAUCAGAUGUGCACGUGUAGUGAUUCCAUGUAGGGCUGGGUAAAAAAUAUUGAUUUUCCGAUUAAUGUUUUAGUAAUGUACAUAAGAUGGAAGGUUCUCUCUGUCCGUGUUUAAUGCUCCACUUUUCAAUGACGCAGUUAUAUUUUUGCUGAGUUGUUGACAGUAUAUGAAGCAAUAAAAAGAAACAUCUUUCUAUUGAAUUGACCUCAUGUGAAAAACGUAAGGCUAGUUACGCACAACGUGACUAGUUGAACAAAUAACAACAAGUGAACCCAUUAUAUUGUGUGUGAAUCACAAUCUUUAUGUUUAGUGAAUCCAAAACAUACAGUGUGACUAGCGUAGCCUGACUCCUAUGAGACGGCUCUUUUUAGUGAAUCAAAAACAUACCACGUGAAUGAAUCAGAUUUGGACCAAAUCGGAAAAAUUUGUAUUGAUACCCAACCUUAAUUCCAUGAACUUGAAGGUCAGACUUUUAUAUGUAUUAUGUGGAAAUGAUUUACUCUCAUUGGACAUCUGUAUUUGAUAUUUCUUCAGUGUAAGCUAAUGAAAGUGGCUUUGGUGUAAGAGCAUCUUUUACCUUGAGAUGAGCAGACUAAAGACUAAAGAAAUGUGUGCAUAGUCAACUGAGUACAAAAAUGGUCCAGAUGACUCCAAUAUUUCUUUAGUUUGAACAAAGCUGCUCACCUCAUGUUUUUUUUUUUUUCAGUAACAUAGUCUGAGUGUGCUGGGAAUGUUAAAUGCAUGUUCAAAUCUAAAACGAUUGAACAUUUGGUCUUGAUUUGCUCUAAGGAGCCUUUGGCCUGGCCUGAAGAAAAAAAAGUGCAUGCUCUUUUGUCAAGACUUAUGGCAUGGCCACAGAAGAAAAGAAUGAAAUAAGACAGGCAGAGCUAAAUCUGAUGUGUAGUUAACUGGAGUUUCGUAGUGAAUGGAGCUGAGAACUUAACCCGCUAACUACGGUAAUGGAUUGAGAUUAAUGUAAUUGAUUAACAGAAUGACUUUGCAUCUUGGCGAGCGCUUUUGUUUGGCUUGUGCCCAAUACCUUGACGGCUGUAUCUAUCUCCACAGGGGGAUGGGAUACACCAAAUCCGCGAGGCCCUGAAGAUCUUAGCCGAGAGGGUUUUAAUCCUCGAGACUAUGAUCGGUAUCCAUGGUGAGUAAGAGGCCAGAAGUAGGUUUAGGUCCGUUUUAAAAGGACUUAGGACCAGGGGUCAGAGACUUCAGUGCAUCUUUUACCCCACAACACUUUUGGAAAGCGAGCGAGGAGCAAAGUGUGGUGGAGGACAGGGGCCAAGUACUCCACCUGCCAUCCAUGAGCCCACCCCCCACCAUUCUUUCAAAACUUUUGAUUUUUGAUAGGACUUUAAUUUGAAGAAGUUCCAAGACUUGCAGGCUGACUUAGAGCUGCUGGCUCGCAGGGUGCAGCUGCUGGAGGCGAUCAUCUGGCCAGAACCAGAUGUAGGGUCAGGAGAUGGCCUCUUUGGCACACCAUCUCCAGACGUCUACC